This 406-nucleotide ribosomal RNA is filed under the name uncultured bacterium. Its description in RNAcentral is "partial 16S ribosomal RNA". It matches the Rfam family "Bacterial small subunit ribosomal RNA", at positions 29 to 526 of the family's 1533-position model. The record is from RNAcentral.
AUUGAACGCUGGCGGCAGGCCUAACACAUGCAAGUCGAGCGAGCGGCGGACGGGUGAGUAAUGUCUGGGAAACUGCCCGAUGGAGGGGGAUAACUACUGGAAACGGUAGCUAAUACCGCAUACCAUCAGAUGUGCCCAGAUGGGAUUAGCUAGUAGGUGGGGUAACGGCUCACCAAGGCGACGAUCCCUAGCUGGUCUGAGAGGAUGACCAGCCAAACUGGAACUGAGACACGGUCCAGACGCCUACGGGAGGCAGCAGGGGGGAAUAUUGCACAAUGGGGGAAAUCCUGAUGCAGCCAUGCCGCGUGUGUGAAGAAGGCCUUCGGGUUGUAAAGCACUUUCAGCGGGGAGGCGGUACCCGCAGAAGAAGCACCGGCUAACUCCGUGCCAGCAGCCGCGGUAAUUC